This is a long non-coding RNA of Betta splendens (Siamese fighting fish), 1314 nucleotides long. RefSeq lists it as uncharacterized. The record is from RefSeq and is a predicted model, not a curated record. NCBI's taxonomy places the organism in Eukaryota, Metazoa, Chordata, Actinopteri, Anabantiformes, Osphronemidae. The transcript has 3 exons.
GGACUGACGUAGGAGAUGAUAAAGCACAAACUAAGACUCUGCGGCCUUCCUUUGAACCCUCACGUCGCCAAGGCAACCAGGCAAGGUUAUUCCCCUCCUCUCUAGCAUGCCUGCCUACCUGUGUGCAAUAGAGCAGAGUGCAUGUGGGCUGCGGUGAAUAAGGUACGAGAUGUUAUCUAAUCGCCGCAUGGAAAGAGCGCAGCGGGAAGCCAGACUGUCUCCUGAACACCAGCUGCCCAUUAUUCUGUCCCCUCGUCAGCGGCCUUUAUUGUCCAUGUAGAGCACCUUUUAUCUUGCUGUUAUCCAUUAAACAUAUCUAGACACUAGUAGGUCCAUGCUGGUGUGUGUCAUUACAAAGAGAGGAAAUAAGGAAGUUAUGGACCGCCGUUUGCUGACAUGAAAUGAUUCACGCCAUAAUUUGAAGAUGAGCCCUGGAAGCCACGGGCACCACUAAAUCGCCAGCAGGCCGUCCCUCUCCGUGGGAUCGGCUUACACACGCCCCACCACACAAACCUCCCCAAUUCAAGCAUCGCGGCCUCCAUCUUGACCACAAUAACAAACAGGGAAACCAGGCAAUGGAUCGCACGAGGGACAACAUCCGUGGCAUAAAAAAAUGAAAGGCACGAACAGAACACACAGCAUCUGUGACAGUGUUGGUGAUGGUUGGGGGGGGGUAGCUCAGUGUUACUGCUGCCAAAUGGAAUAACCAGGAAAAGUUGAAAAUAAAACUAAUUGUAAUCACCCAAUUACUCAUUUACCAAUGAGAAAAUGCCUAAAAAGAACAGUGAGAUAUUGAUCCAUUCAGAAUAAAUGGCAUGUAAACAUGCCAUGCAUGCAAAUGUGUUGAUAAAUAUUGGUAUUUAUUUUUCUUUUGUGUUUUUUCUCUUUUGCUUCAUGUUUAAGGCCUGAGUGGCAGGUAAGAUUGUUGUCUUUGCAAUAAGAUGCUAACUGGAUAUUUUGACGUGAAAAAAGUAAAAUAAUGAAUAAUUGAAAUGAACCGAUUCAUAAAAUUAUUUGUUAUAAAAGUAGUUUGAAUAUUUUGGAAAUCAUUUUAAAUUCUGCACAUUUUUAGCACUGGCACAAGAUUAAAUUUGUCAGUUUUCCUUUCCAAUGGAUUCAUAUUUGCUUGUUUUGUCAGGAGGCUGUAAUGCAUUGAUGUCAAGUGCUGCACACUGCGGCUGUAUGAGAAUUAGUUUAUUAUGGUGAUAUAUGAUUCUUGUUAUUGCCUACUGUUUCCACAACAAACUACAGUGGCAAUGUCACUAUGUGAGAUCAUGGAAGGUGACGUGCAUCACUGUUUGAUUUAGACGCGGA